RNAcentral lists this long non-coding RNA (1096 nucleotides) under Prunus persica (peach). RNAcentral describes it as "long non-coding RNA (PPER_LNC001868)". The record is from RNAcentral. Lineage: Eukaryota; Viridiplantae; Streptophyta; Magnoliopsida; Rosales; Rosaceae.
CAGAUUUUCCUACUACAUUUGACAGAGCUAUGUGGAAUAUAGAAAAGGUUGUUAUUGAGGACCAACCUGACCACUUAAUCUCCAAUGUAAAAACUCUAAUGUUUUUUUAACUAACAUAGCCGUGGUUACGAAGAACAAGAAGAAAAUGAACAAAUAGUUUACCAAAUAGUUUUAAGCACUAUUGUUUGGUUUUAGGCACAAUUAUCUGUUUUUUUUAUUUAUUUUUUAUUUUUUAUUUUUAAAUUGCCCAAUAAGGAUUACUGUUUUUGUUUGAGCAUCUUAUCUAGGAUUUUCUCUAUCAUUAAUCGAAUUUAGCUCUUCAUGAUUAAUCGAUUAAUCCUGAAUCACGAAUGAUAAGGUGAGCUUUCUAAUGUUGAAUUCCAUUAGUUUUUGUCUUCAUGUUGGAAAAUUCGGUCAUGAGCAAAUCAAAAAAUUACUGCUUACCUCCAGCAACAUGUACCUUGCCAAAGGAUGAGGCAAACCCCUGCAUUCUGAUGAUACGGUAUGGAUCACUAGCUAACAUCACUUCUUCUACUAUGAGACAAAAAGUUCUCCAACAUUCUUCUACUUUCUCUUCUUCUAGAGAUAGAGGACCCAGUAUCUCUGGAGAAGAUAGAGAGUCCCUCGACAUCUCCGGAUAAGAAUCAAGGUUAUGAAAGCAGUGAGCCGUCCAAUGACUCAAUCGCAAAUGAGAUAAAGAAAGUAGAAACAUAUAUGUUGGAAUAUCCAGAUUUUCCUAUUACAUUUGACAGAGCUAUGUGGAAAAUAGAAAAGGUUGUUAUUGAGGACCAACCUGACCACUUAAUCUCCAAUGUAAAAACUCUAAUGUUUUUUUUACUAACAUAGCCGUGGUUACGAAGAACAAGAAGAAAAUGAACAAAUAGUUUACCAAAUAGUUUUAAGCACUAUUGUUUGGUUUUAGGCACAAUUAUCUGUUUUUUUAAUUAUUUUUUAUUUUUUAUUUUUAAAUUGCCCAAUAAGGAUUACUGUUUUUGUUUGAGCAUCUUAUCUAGGAUUUUCUCUAUCAUUAAUCGAAUUUAGCUCUUCAUGAUUAAUCGAUUAAUCCUGAAUCACGAAUGAUAAGGUGAGCUUUCUA